UCUCUUUUCCAGCAUCGUGUUCACAUCAAUUCUGACCACUGGUCCAACAAGUUGGCCAAUGGCCUUAAGAAGACACUCUGAAUAGAAAUGUUCUGAUAACGUUAGAAAUCUUAUCUAGACCACUUGCUGUCAACAACAUCACUGGAAGUGGAAAAAGAGGACGACCAUAGCUGAAUGGAUAAAUAAUGUCUAAACACCACCCACAACCCACCCAUAAUAACAUUACCAAAAUUGCUCUUGUCAUGAAAACGAACAAGGUUUUUCUAGUUUAUGACCAGAAGAAACCCGUUAGGACCAUUACUUUUUGAUAGUGAGAUCGACCGCACAGCUCGUAGAAACUGAAGAGAAAUAAGGCGAAGCUUAAGAUACACAGA
Long non-coding RNA from Gossypium arboreum, 374 nucleotides. RefSeq lists it as uncharacterized. The record is from RefSeq and is a predicted model, not a curated record. NCBI's taxonomy places the organism in Eukaryota, Viridiplantae, Streptophyta, Magnoliopsida, Malvales, Malvaceae. The transcript is spliced from 2 exons.